GACCGGUAGCUCAGUUGGUAGAGCGACGGCAUCACAGCGAUAGAGGAAGGGGCCCGGGUUCAAGCCCGGGCACGGAAUG
Molecule: non-coding RNA, 79 nt
Organism: Aphanomyces cochlioides
Lineage: Eukaryota; Oomycota; Saprolegniomycetes; Saprolegniales; Verrucalvaceae
Source: the annotation of a GenBank genome assembly